Long non-coding RNA from Sceloporus undulatus (fence lizard), 2242 nucleotides. RefSeq lists it as uncharacterized. The transcript has 3 exons. The record is from RefSeq and is a predicted model, not a curated record. NCBI's taxonomy places the organism in Eukaryota, Metazoa, Chordata, Lepidosauria, Squamata, Phrynosomatidae.
GGACUUCUGUUGAUUGCAGUGUUUGCUUCCUGGUUAGUAAGGGUUGUAAGACUUUCACAGGCUUUGUGUAGCUCCUAACCUAGGGACUACAUGGGGAUUGUAAAUACAAAGCUUUCACAAGUGCAUAACUCUAGUUUAUGCAUUUGUAUCUGCCCAACAGGAUUACCACCUUCAUUCUUCAGUCACACUGUUAUGCUAGAACAAGAGAUUUCAUUUAUACUGGAAUCUUGGAAAAGUUACUGAUGCUCCCAAAUUCAGGAUGCGUCAUCUGAAAAGGUCUCUCUUGAAACCGGAUUUGGACAGAAAAGCUCUCUGAAUACUAGGUACUCCAGAAGUCCUUCAACAGAAGGUUGUUUUCUGUAAAGAAGAAUUGGACAAUCUACCAUCUAACCCUGCUUUUCCCUUCUAGGUUAUAACAUCAGAAUGCAAACGGAUCUUGUUGAACCUUUCCGACUAACUGAGCAUAAGAAGUUGUACAAUAAGCUUUUGUAAACUUGGUCAACUUCAUCAGAUGUAUGGAGUUGACUGGUGUCCAUAAUCAGACUGUAUGAUUAGCCAUAGAAAUGCAAAACUUGUGAAAAUGGUGAUGAGGUAAUUGAUAAUUGAGGGAGAAAGGCAGCUGCCUAAGGGAGAAAGAUGUUGCCUAAGGCCAGGGUGAGUGGAUGUCCAUAUGGAUGGAGGAGGUACUGGAAUGUGGUGUGUGCAGGCUGGAAAACAGAAAGAAGAUAUAUGAAACUGGCCAAGAGUAUCCUCAUGAGGCUGGAAUGUUAACCAGUGUUAUGAUAUACAUAGUGUGCCAGGAAGUCAUUGUCUCUGUUUAACCCACCAUUGAUAGAUUGGAGUUUGUGGAUAUAUUCCAAUUCAGCAGUUGUUCUUUUCAAUCUUCAUUUGGAUUUGUUGUUGUUGUUGUUGUUCAAGAACUUCUAUCCUGAGUUCACGAACUGGAAUGCCCAGGAAUACUAAAGUGUUCUGCAACAGGUUUUUUGUAUAUUCCCAUUCAUAAUAUCUGAUUUAUGUCUAUAUCCUAUGGGCAGAGGCUAGUAAGUGAAAGUGCCUCUAAUGUUGUGAGUUAUGUGAGUAGGUCCUGUGAUGACAUUUCCUGAGUAGGUGUGUGGCCAGAGUUGGUAUCUGGGUUUGUGGUAAGGUUUUGUAUCCACCUGCCCAUCUGUGUUGUGCACCCUCCUGUAAGUAGGUAAUUGUUUGAGACUGGCUGUCUGUAGGCAAGUAAAGGCCUGCCACCAAGAGCCUUUGAGAGGGCACUUUAUUGUCCAAAACAGGUUGUAGCUCAGAUACAUCUGAGUGGCCUCAGUUGGGAGUUGUAUAUGACCACUAGUGGGUUUCUGUCAUUUUCUGUCUUCGGUCUGUUCUGUAAACGAUUUGUUGUCAGUACAAGUCUUGCCUUUCAUUUUUUACUUCAUAUGGUGGGUACUAUAGCUUGAGGAAUCUUUGUUGUAAUUCCAGGAGUUGUCAUCCCUGUCCUGUGGAUCUAAGCAGAUGUAGUUGUAUUAAGGGUUUCAUUGUAAACUAUGGAUUUGGUAGUGUGUUUAGGGUGGACACUGAAGGUAUAUAAGUAUGUAUAUUGGUCAUUGAGUUUGCAAUAUAGAGUGGUUGUAAUGUGCAAUACUGUGCUCCAUUGCAUCUAUUGGAGUCACUCUGGAAUAACCCCAGUCACUCUGGAUUUUUAUGAGAAUCUUUGUUUGGCUGAUUCUCUCGUGGCUGCACUGUUAUUAUGGAAACCACAACAUCUGCAAAACCACCGAGAAUGCUAUAAAUUAAUGCAAGAUGUAGACAAUGGAAGAGACACCCUGUUAAAUAAAACACACUUUCUUAUCAACAUUGCUCUUUUAAUUAUUUUACAGAUGUGGAAAAUUUAAGGACUGGUUUUUGAGCCAUGCAAAAAUAUGUGAACAGCUUGCCAGAAACUAAGCAAUUAGAGAACUGGAGUUUGAAGAACAAAAAAUGGGGACAUUAGAUCAGGAAGGAUAUAGUGCCAAAUCAAAGGAUGGUAUGUGCUAAAAUUCAUGAGGGAACAGAUGGGGGAAAUGUAGAAAUGAAGGCAUAAAAGGCACACACUUUUUCUCCUUUCUCAUCAAACCAGGUUUAUUAAAAAUGCCUCUUUGUUUGCUCUGCUUAAAAUCGUGGCUUUCUGUGAGCUUGCUUCAUUGACUGACUGUGGUUGAAAGGAGGGAAAUAGCAUUGGACAAUGUUGCUGUUGCUCUAUUAACCUCCUCUUGCCUCUAAG